CAAUAGCGUAUAUUAAAGUUGUUGCAGUUAAAAAGCUCGUAGUUGGAUUUCUGAUGAGAGUACGGGUCGGCCUUAACGGGUUGCACUGUUGUUACGUCUCGUCGUUUCGAGGGGGAUGGGUUCGCUAUUAGGUUAGUGGGCUCGGGAACCUUGUCGUUUACUGUGAAAAAAUUAGAGUGUUCAAAGCAGGCCUUUGCUGUGAAUACAUUAGCAUGGAAUAAUAAGAUAGGACUGUAGUGCUAUUUUGUUGGUUUGCGUACUAUGGUAAUGAUUAAUAGGGAUAGUUGGGGGUAUUCAUAUUCAAUUGUCAGAGGUGAAAUUCUUGGAUUUAUGGAAGAUGAACUACUGCGAAAGCAUUUACCAAGGAUGUUUUCAUUAA
RNAcentral lists this ribosomal RNA (379 nucleotides) under uncultured eukaryote. Its description in RNAcentral is "partial 18S ribosomal RNA". It matches the Rfam family "Eukaryotic small subunit ribosomal RNA", at positions 592 to 976 of the family's 1831-position model. The record is from RNAcentral.